AUCUUGGUCAGGACGAACGCUGGCGGCAUGCCUAACACAUGCAAGUCGAACGGAGUAAUGACUUCGGUUAUUACUUAGUGGCGAACGGGUGAGUAACGCGUGAAUAAUCUGCCCUGUACGAUGGGGUAACAGCUGGAAACGGCUGCUAAUACCGUAUAUGACCACGCCGAGGCAUCUCGGAGGGGUGAAAGCGCUUAAGCGGUACAGGAUGAGUUCGCGUCCAAUUAGCUAGUUGGUGAGGUAACGGCCCACCAAGGCGACGAUUGGUAGCCGACCUGAGAGGGUGAUCGGCCACACUGGAACUGAGACACGGUCCAGACUCCUACGGGAGGCAGCAGUGGGGAAUAUUGGGCAAUGGAGGAAACUCUUACCCAGCCAAUGCCGCGUGAGUGAUGAAGGUCUUCGGAUUGUAAAGCUCUUUGAUUGGGGACGAAUAAAUGACGGUACCCAAGGAACAAGCCCCGGCUAACUAUGUGCCAGCAGCGGC
This 487-nucleotide ribosomal RNA is filed under the name uncultured bacterium. Its description in RNAcentral is "bacterial SSU rRNA". It matches the Rfam family "Bacterial small subunit ribosomal RNA", at positions 17 to 518 of the family's 1533-position model. The record is from RNAcentral.